UAAUAGCGUAUAUUAAAGUUGUUGCAGUUAAAAAGCUCGUAGUUGGAUUUCUGGUGGGAGCGAUCGGUCUGGCGCUUAGCGCGAGUACUUGCAUCGUCUCCGGCCAUCCUUGGGGAAAGUCUGUCUGGCAUUAAGUUGUCGGGCAGAGGAUCCUCAUCGUUUACUGUGAAAAAAUUAGAGUGUUCAAAGCAGGCUUAUGCCGUUGAAUAUAUUAGCAUGGAAUAAUAAGAUAGGACUUUGGUACUAUUUUGUUGGUUUGCGCACCAAAGUAAUGAUUAAUAGGGACAGUUGGGGGUAUUCGUAUUCCGUUGUCAGAGGUGAAAUUCUUGGAUUUACGGAAGACGAACUACUGCGAAAGCAUUUACCAAGGAUGUUUUCAUUAA
Molecule: ribosomal RNA, 383 nt
Filed under: uncultured eukaryote
Lineage: Eukaryota
Description: partial 18S ribosomal RNA
Rfam family: Eukaryotic small subunit ribosomal RNA
Source: RNAcentral